GAUGAGUCCGUACGACACGUCGUCCACUCGGCACGAGUGGCUGCUGAACUGCGUUCCGAGAGUCGAUGCUGAGAGUGCAGCCUAGCGGGAGGUAACUCUCCAGACUAGAUUAUACUGCCGCGAGUCCGAUAGCUACAGUACCGUGAGGGAAAGUGCAAAGACUUUGAGAGAGAGUUCAGAGAACGUGAAACCGCUCGUAGAGAAACGGAUGGGACCUCGAAGGCAAUCGAGUUGGUAGGGACGGGAUUCAGCUUGGUUCGCCGGCCGCAUUGCCGAUUGCCCUGUAGUAGGCUCGCAAGAGCCGACCUGCAGGGCCGUUGGUCGUACUCGGUUGGUCGGCGACUGGGCGCAUUUCCCGAACAGACCCCUACCCUUGAGCACGCUGCAACCGGUUUGGCAUUGGCAAUGAGGCCUUGCGGUGGAAGGUGGCCACGUGCGAGUUGUGCGGUUUCGGCCGUACCACGCCCUUCGGGGGACUCGUCGUGGCGUUACAGUCACUGCGGGCAUCUGGCCAUAGGUUAGACCGAGGGAGAAUAACUUUUACGCCCGCGCACUCGGUGCGCUCGGAGGCUGGUUUGAACGGUUUGCCGCUCCAAGUUGCGGUCUAGGGCCUCGUGCUCAGACCCGGCUAGAGUGGUGGCCGUUUGGCCGGCUGAAGGCCUUGGGCUAGCGGGCUAUGGGUUAGCAGCGAGUAGGUCGGUUCCCCAUCCGACCCGUCUUGAAACACGGACCAAGGAGUCUAACGUACAUGCGAGUCGAAGAGUACUGAGAAACUCAGGGGCGAAAUGAAAGUGAAUUAUUUGGUGGUGCCUAGCACUGCCAGGCGUGAUCCGGCUAGCCACGGCUAGUCGGCGCAACGCCGGCCUGUCCGAGUCCGCGCCUUUCGGGGCCUAGUGACGGCGGGACAGAGUUGGAGCAUGGGCGUUGGGACCCGAAAGAUGGUGAACUAUGCUUGGACAGGACGAAGCCGGAGGAAACUCUGGUGGAGGUCCGAAGCGAUUCUGACGUGCAAAUCGAUCGUCAGAUCUAAGUAUAGGGGCGAAAGACUAAUCGAACCAUCUAGUAGCUGGUUCCUUCCGAAGUUUCCCUCAGGAUAGCUGGCGUUUGAUCGCAGUUUCAUCCGGUAAAGCGAAUGAUUAGAGGCUUACUGGGGCCGAAACGGCCUCGACCUAUUCUCAAACUUUAAAUGGGUGAGAAGCUCGGCUUUCUUAACUGAAGCUCGAGUCAGGAAUUGACGGUAGAAUGCGAACGGCCAAGUGGGCCAUUUUUGGUAAGCAGAACUGGCGAUGCGGGAUGAACCGAAAGGCGAGUUACGGUGCCCGACGCGACGCUUAUGAGACCCCAUGAAAGGCGUUAGUUGCUACAGACAGCAGGACGGUGGCCAUGGAAGUCGGAAUCCGCUAAGGAGUGUGUAACAACUCACCUGCCGAAGCAACUAGCCCUGAAAAUGGAUGGCGCUUCAGCGUCGAACCUAAACUCGGCCGUCGGGGCAAAAUGUAGAUUGUUUCGAGCAAUCGAAAAACACGCUUCGACGUGUAGGAAGGUCGCGGCAAUUGCGCAGAAGGUGUCUGGCGCAGGCCAGCCCGAAGCUUUUGCCGGCGCAGAUCUUGGUGGUAGUAGCAAAGAUACGAGCGAGAUCCUCGUAGGCUGAAGUGGAGAAGGGUUCCACGCGAACAGCGGUUGAACGUGGGUCAGUCGAUCCUAAAGUCGACGAGAAAUCCGUUUAAAGCGGAGCAUUUAAAAACGAAAAAGUUUCUAAACAAGAAGCUCCCUUUCGACUGAAAGGGAAUCGGGUUAAUAUUCCCGAACCUGGUCGUGGAAAURGCCCCGGACCGRYUUCGGUCGGUUAUCGGGGCGAGUGCGGUAACGCAAACCKACUCGGAGACGUCAGCRAGAGUCCYGGGAAGAGUUGUCUUUUCUUYGUAAGGSACGGACUCCSUGGAAUCGGCCUAGCCGGAGAKAGGGACGUUGUUSCCCAAAAGCACCGCGGCUCUCGCGGUGUCCGGUGCGCUCUCGUUGGCCCUUGAAAAUCCGAGGGAGAGAGUUAGCUUUUUCACGCCAGAUCGUACCCAUAUCCGCAGCAGGUCUCCGAGGUGAACAGCYUCUAGYCGAUAGAAUAAUGUAGGUAAGGGAAGUCGGCAAAUUGGAUCCGUAACUUUGGGAAAAGGAUUGGCUCUGAGGGUCGAGCCUGUCGGGCUGGAACGAAAAGUCGGUACGGUGUCUUGCCGGGACUGGGCUACGGACUGCUUUGAGUUUCGGCUCUUAGCUUGGCUGUGGCUCGGACUAGCGCGAGGACCUGCCGAUGGACUAUUCCAGCUAUGCGGCCGGUGAGAGUGCUUGGUUCACGCCAGGUGCUUGAGCCGAUCAACCGCUUCGGCAGGCAUUUAACGGCCGACUCAGAACUGGCACGGACCGGGAGAAUCCGACUGUCUAAUUAAAACAAAGCAUUGCGAUGGCCGUUGGACGGUGUUGACGCAAUGUGAUUUCUGCUCAGUGCUCUGAAUGUCAAAGUGAAGAAAUUCAAUGAAGCGCGAGUAAACAGCGGGGGUAACUAUGACCCUCUUAAGGUAGCCAAAUGCCUCGUCAUCUAAUUAGUGACGCGCAUGAAUGGAUUAACGAGAUUCUCACUUUCCCUAUCUACUAUCUAGCGAAACCACAGCCAAGGGAACGGGCUUGGCAGAAUCAGCGGGGAAAGAAGACCCUGUUGAGCUUGACUCUAGUCCGACUGAGUGAAGAGACACGAGAGGUGUAGAAUAAGUGGGAGACUCGGGGCCUCGGUCCUGACGUCGCCGGUGAAAUACCACUACUUUGGUCGUUUCUUCACUUACUCGGUUAAGCGGAAGAAGGCGGCCGGCCUGUCGUGCCCGGUCUCGUGCCGUGGUAACGGGGCUUGGUGCCGCCAGUCUUUUGGAAUAGAAACGUUUCUAUCUCGCACUCGUCUCUUACGGUGCCGGCAUUGGCCUCGGUUAGUGUCGGUGUCUUGCGAGAUGCCUGUGGCGGGCCAGGGGCUAGUCGUGAGAGAGGUCCCUGGCACAUACCGUUCAGGACUAUGAGCAAACGUGAUCCGUCCCAGAUUGCCC
This 3080-nucleotide ribosomal RNA is filed under the name Decapauropus infurcatus. RNAcentral's name for it is "eukaryotic LSU rRNA". It matches the Rfam family "Eukaryotic large subunit ribosomal RNA", at positions 205 to 2605 of the family's 3401-position model. The record is from RNAcentral. Lineage: Eukaryota; Metazoa; Arthropoda; Pauropoda; Tetramerocerata; Pauropodidae.